RNAcentral lists this unclassified non-coding RNA (205 nucleotides) under soil metagenome. RNAcentral's name for it is "partial contains 5.8S ribosomal RNA, internal transcribed spacer 2, and large subunit ribosomal RNA". The record is from RNAcentral.
AACUGAUACUACCUGCGGGAACCUGCGGAAGGAUCAUUAACGUUGGGGACUAACAAUCCCUCAGCGAGAUAGAACCCUUGCCUUUUCGAGUACCACACGUUUCCUCGGCAGGUACGCCUGCCAAUGGGGACCACAACAAAACCUUUUGUAAUAGCAGUAAACGUCUUAAAAACAAAACUUUUAAAACUUUCAACAAUGGAUCUCU